GCGGGCGCGGACAGGUUCCGGCCGCCCGCGCACAGGUAGCGCCCGGCGGCGAGCGCCGCGUCGAAGAUGUUGUGCGGGUCGGCUCGCCCGUC
RNAcentral lists this transfer RNA (92 nucleotides) under Streptomyces spinoverrucosus. RNAcentral's name for it is "tRNA-Leu". Lineage: Bacteria; Bacillati; Actinomycetota; Actinomycetes; Kitasatosporales; Streptomycetaceae. The record is from RNAcentral.